CUACGGGUGGCAGCAGUGAGGAAUAUUGCACAAUGGGGGGAACCCUGAUGCGGCAACGCCGCGUGGAGGAUGACGCAUUUCGGUGUGUAAACUCCUUUUAUAUGUCAAGAAAAUGACGGUAGCAUAUGAAUAAGCACCGGCUAACUCCGUGCCAGCAGCCGCGGUAAUACGGAGGGUGCAAGCGUUACUCGGAAUCACUGGGCGUAAAGGACGCGUAGGCGGGUUGGAAAGUCAGGUGUGAAAUCCUACAGCUUAACUGUAGAACUGCACUUGAAACUUCUAAUCUAGAGUAUGGGAGGGGGAGAUGGAAUUCGUGGUGUAGGGGUAAAAUCCGUAGAUAUCACUAGGAAUACCUAAAGCGAAGGCGAUCUCCUGGAACAUUACUGACGCUAAGGCGUGAAAGCGUGGGGAGCAAACAGGAUUAGAUACCCUCGUAGUC
Molecule: ribosomal RNA, 439 nt
Filed under: uncultured bacterium
Lineage: Bacteria
Description: partial 16S ribosomal RNA
Rfam family: Bacterial small subunit ribosomal RNA
Source: RNAcentral